GGACCCGCACAAGUAGUGGAGCAUGUGGUUUAAUUCGAAGAUACGCGCAGAACCUUACCAACACUUGACAUGUUUGUCGCGACUUUAAGAGAUUAAAGUCUUCGGUUCGGCCGGACAAAACACAGGUGCUGCAUGGCUGUCGUCAGCUCGUGUCGUGAGAUGUUGGGUUAAGUCCCGCAACGAGCGCAACCCUCACUUUUAGUUGCCAUCAUUUAGUUGGGCACUCUGAAAGAACUGCCGGUGAUAAGCUGGAGGAAGGUGGGGAUGACGUCAAGUCCUCAUGGCCCUUACGUGUUGGGCUACACACGUGCUACAAUGGCAUUUACAAUAGGAAGCAAGAUGGCGACAUCAAGCAAAUCCUAAAAAGAUGCCUCAGUUCGGAUUGUACUCUGCAACUCGAGUACAUGAAGUCGGAAUCGCUAGUAAUCGC
This 430-nucleotide ribosomal RNA is filed under the name uncultured bacterium. RNAcentral describes it as "bacterial SSU rRNA". It matches the Rfam family "Bacterial small subunit ribosomal RNA", at positions 917 to 1345 of the family's 1533-position model. The record is from RNAcentral.